Molecule: long non-coding RNA, 2250 nt
Filed under: Xyrichtys novacula (pearly razorfish)
Lineage: Eukaryota; Metazoa; Chordata; Actinopteri; Labriformes; Labridae
Source: RNAcentral
GUAUUUAUAGUCUCGCUGCCUGUGCAUCCUCACAGCAAGCGGUACCGCCACAUUUACCCUGGAGGUAAACCCCUCUUGAAUACAGCCUGUUCAAGAUGGGUUUAAAGAAUGAUUAUGAGUCCAAGUGCGAGGGAGAGUGGCUUUGGUGGUGGUUUUUGUAAAAAUACACACUCACCACCUCCAAACCAGCGAUCACUUUAGGGAGAUCACUCUGUUUUCUGUCUUUUGAAAAGGCGAACAUGUUGAAAUGUUCAUCUCCCAUGGUUAAUGAACACAUUGUGCAACACAUCAGCUAAUAACGCAGUAAGGAUGUGCGCUUAGCACAAUGCUCUACACCAUUACUUAUCUAAUAAACUGUAGGAGGCAACUGCCAUUAGCACUGGCGCUGAUGCUGAUAUUCACCUCCCACUGGCAGGCUUGUGCAAGCUAAUCUGCCGUAUACUGUAUGCAAAUAGGAAACUGUUACUGUCAGGAUGCGGUCUAAUUCCACAUUAUUCUCCAGGUAGCGGGCCAAUCAGGUUGACUUUGAAACGGAUCAUGGGUGAUUAGCCGGGAAUGCUGGGAGAAUGCCGAGGUCUCUCUGGUGAACCCCGCAGCUGGUGCCGGAGUCAGCGGAGCAACGAUCCAGGUAAUUAAUUCUUUGACAAGCAUCAGUGAUUUGGAAAAUCAGUAAGAAUGGCAGACGCUGAUCAAAAGGGAAACACGUGGAGAGAUGUUUAAACAGUGGGCGAAUGAGGCGUCAGUCACGCAGGGGCCCAGACGCAGGGCCCGCAGCCCAACACCAAACAGCACAAUACACUGAGCUGACUAUCAAACAACAGCAGGAUGGAGGAUAGCAGGCGUGUUUUUGGAUUGGCAGUCACAGAAAUGCAUGAAGUUAUGCACCGAGUAAUGCACUCACACAUCCAAUUAAUGGAAGUUAAUUUGUUCUGCAAGACCUGAUACACAUGGACACACACACUCACAAAGGCAAAUGUAUCCAUACAUACAUCGGCAUGCAUUCAGACUUAUAGUUAUCAUCUAAACAUACUAUUACCAUGCACUCAACAUGUAUAGUAAACAAUUCAAAUAUAUGGACUCAAUGUAAAAUUACAGAUAAACCACACAUGUAUAUUCCAGUCACAAAUCCAUGCGUGCAGUACAAACAUUAUGAACGUACACUGCAGGAACAUAACUCAAUAUACGCACAUGGACAUGUGGUAAAGAUCAAUUCAUUUUCAGUAUUUAUUAUACAUAUUGCACUAAGCCUAUAUCUGUUGAAUGAAAUGCAAACAAUGGCAUGAUAUUCAUGGGCAUGAGAUCACAUAGAUGCAAGUGCACACACACGGCACUCUUCAUAAAUACACAAGAGGUUGGGUUGACGUUACUGCCAUAUCCUUGAUUAAAUCAUGCCUAUAUCCUUUAUUUGAUUGUGUGGCCAGAAAGAAAGAACACACAAACCGAAAAAGCGUAAUGAAACAUCAUCGGCACGGCUAUUACAGAAGUGCUGUCCAGAAUACAAAUUCCCCAUGCAGGUAUUUGUUUUCAUCCAUCUGUAUUCAUUAUGCGAGCGAAUGUAUCAUUGGAGUGUAGCUAUUGAUCCCGUAUUAAAUCUCAUUGUUAUUUUCCUAUUCAGCGGCAAGCCAGGUGAGGGGGAAAAAGAAGGGUGACCAAAUGUCAUGGUGACAACAUGCAGCAUUGUCAAAGGUAGCUUUAUCGAUCAAGAUAGACAGAAAGGGAGAGGGGAGAUAUUUCUGCAGGACCCCAACCGUCUGACAUUUUAGAAAAGCUGUCCUUUCUGUUUUGUCACCCCUUAUUGUCACACACAAAGAGCAUGGAUGCCUUGACUGAGGCAGUUUGAGCCGUGGCCUUCGCACCCAGCAGCGACAGAGAGCCGGCCCGCAUGUUGCCCGGCAAAGUAGGGAGUCUUGUCCAUUAUAUUUAUCGGUGGUAAUUUCACAAUUCACAUGCUGUGUUUUCUGAGAAGGUGGGCUAAGCAUUGUGCUGGCUCCUUGCUUUGACAUUUUAAAGGCCUUGCUGUCAAACCUUAUCAGCCGUUCAUCUGAAACAUACUGUGGAUGGAGGCUCUGGUUUGGUUGGGGUCCAAUUAGCUUGCCAGACAUGUACAGCAAUUCUUCAGACAACUUAGAUGACUCAGAAACAUCCCCAGUGGGACUUCCCAUCUCUUUCUUUUCCACCUCAGAUUCAAGUGAAAGCUGGUGGUGGAAAGAAGGCAAGUGAGGGAGCACAAAGAAGCGCACAGGCGAGUGG